Long non-coding RNA from Bos taurus (domestic cattle), 537 nucleotides. The record is from Ensembl. NCBI's taxonomy places the organism in Eukaryota, Metazoa, Chordata, Mammalia, Artiodactyla, Bovidae.
GUUUGUCAAGUCCCUGCAGCUCUUAGUGCCAGAAACCUAUCACACGUCUCAGCAUCUGAUCUCAGGCUGGGAACAGGGCUUGGGGUUUCCCGCUGUUCCUACCAGAUGGCGGCUCCCUAGGGGUCGGACCACGCUGUUCAUGGAGGGAGCCCAGCUGCUGGGUGCAGAGGAGGAGCGGCUUUGUUCCAUUGUUUUUGGACAUCACAAGGGCCUCAUCUCCUGGAACUCCUUCACACCAUCCUGCGGCUCUUCAGGGAAUAAUGCUGACAUCUCGAAGAACUUAAAGACACUGUUACGUGUGUCCACUGAGGCGGAACUAGGACGCUGCCCCAAGCUGCACUCUCGUUUCCCUUACGGGAAAGAAUACGACCAGGACUCGUGGAAAGGGGUCAACAGGGUCAAUGACCCUCCAGCCCCCUUUGCCUGGGACUUCAUUAUCGCAUCUGAGCUGUUGCCCUGCCCCGACCUACCCAGCCCUCCUCCAUCCCGCCUCCACUGUGCUCUUCACAUGCUGCUGGCCUGCAAGAGAAGUCUUCC